RNAcentral lists this ribosomal RNA (497 nucleotides) under uncultured bacterium. Its description in RNAcentral is "partial 16S ribosomal RNA". It matches the Rfam family "Bacterial small subunit ribosomal RNA", at positions 28 to 507 of the family's 1533-position model. The record is from RNAcentral.
GAUGAACGCUGGCGGCGUGCCUAAUACAUGCAAGUCGAGCGAACGGACGAGAAGCUUGCUUCUCUGAUGUUAGCGGCUGACGGGUGAGUAACACGUGGAUAACCUUCCUAUAAGACUGGGAUAACUUCGUGAAACCGGAUCUAAUACCGGAUAAUAUUUUGAACCGCAUGGUUCAAAAGUUAAUGACGGUCUUGCUGUCACUUAUAGAUGGUUCCGCGCUGCAUUAGCUAGUUGGUAAGGUAACGGCUUACCAAGGCAACGAUGCAUAGCCGACCUGAGAGGGUGAUCGGCCACACUGGAACUGAGACACGGUCCAGACUCCUACGGGAGGCAGCAGUAGGGAAUCUUCCGCAAUGGGCGAAAGCCUGACGGAGCAACGCCGCGUGAGUGAUUAAGGUCUUCGGAUCGUAAAACUCUGUUAUUAGGGAAGAACAUAUGUGUAAGUAACUGUGCACAUCUUGACGGUACCUAAUCAGAAAGCAACGGCUAACUACGUG